AGUGCGGGAAUCGAACCCAUGACAGCAGUGGAGUUGAAUGCGGAUGUCCUCCACAGCGCAGUGACACUGAUAAGGAACUGGAGUCUCGGGAUGUGCUCGUUUUAAGUCCGACGAGCUGCUGCAAAAUUCACGUUACGGACGACGAUUUCAUCGCUAAACAGGCGUGAAUAAUUUCGUCAGUGGAGAUCGUCUUCUUCCUAAAUAUUAACAGAAGAAUUCUGACUGGAGGAAAAUGGGAAGUACAGUGAUGGACUCCAAGAAAAAGGAUAGUGCAAAGAAAUCCUCAAAGAAAAAGCGAGCUCUGCGCCUAAACAUGCCAGAUUUGAGCACGUUCACAUCCUCUCUUAUGGACGGAGAGACUGACAGAGCAGAUAAAGAUGAUAUGCGCAAGGGUGAGAGAAGUGACUCGGCUAGCCCAUGUUUGAAGCCGCCUGCCAGCCAACCCUGUGCCCCAGCUUCUGCCCCCGUAUGUCCCAGGACCAGUCCAGGCACUCCUAAAACCAUCUUCCAACGUCCACUAUCAUCUCACCAGGACUCACCUCCCAAAUCUCCCCGCCGUCUCAGUUUCAGUGGUAUCUUCCGCUCCUCGUCCAGCUCAGCCCCUGCCAGCAUCAAGCUCUUCUCCAAAUCUAGAAAAGGCUCUGGGCUUUCCACUCCCCCCACCACCCCGACACAGAGUCCCGUUCCACCGGUCUUCUCUGUGGAGACCCCCAGUCCUGUGGAGCGUGUGGAGGAACGACGCUCCCGCUCUCUCUCGUCUCCCCCUGACACAGGCCAGCGCUUCAGCCUGAGCCCCUCAAUCACCAAACCCCCUAUCGCCUCAUACACCUUUAACUCUACCUCACGCCAGAGCUGCGUACUUGCUGAAGGCAUGCUGGAAAAACUUGAACUUGAUAAUGAAGCUGCUGAAGAGCCAGACAGUAACAUUUACAUGCGCUUUAUGAAAUCCCACAAGUGCUAUGACCUCAUCCCCACCAGUUCCAAACUUGUGGUCUUUGACACUACAUUACAGGUAAAGAAAGCUUUCUUUGCCUUGGUUGCUAAUGGAGUUCGAGCUGCGCCAUUGUGGGAAACCAAAAAGCAAAGCUUUGUGGGAAUGUUAACCAUCACAGACUUCAUCAUCAUACUGCACAGAUACUACAAAUCGCCACUGGUGCAAAUAUAUGAGCUGGAAGAGCAUAAAAUUGAGACUUGGAGAGAACUUUAUUUGCAAGAAACUUUUAAACCCUUAGUCAACAUAUCUCCAAAUGCAAGUAUAUUUGAUGCUGUGUACUCACUCAUCAAAAAUAAGAUCCAUCGUUUGCCGGUGAUCGAUCCAGUCACAGGAAAUGCCCUGUAUAUCCUCACACACAAGAGGAUCCUCAAAUUUCUGCAGCUCUUUGUUUGUGAGAUGCCUAAACCAGCCUUCAUGAGGCAGACUCUGGAGGAGCUGGGCAUUGGCACAUACAGCAACAUCGCUUUCAUUCACCCAGAUACACCCAUUAUUAAAGCACUGGGCAUGUUUGUGGAGAGGAGAGUGUCUGCCCUACCGGUGGUGGAUGUCACGGGAAAGGUUGUGGACAUUUACUCCAAGUUUGAUGUCAUUAACCUGGCUGCUGAGAAGACCUACAAUAAUCUGGACAUCACCGUGACUCAGGCUCUGCUGCAUCGCUCGCAGUACUUCGAGGGCGUUAUGAAGUGUCAUCGACACGAGACUCUGGAGACUACAGUGGACAGGAUUGUCAAAGCUGAGGUGCACAGGCUGGUAGUGGUGGAUGAUAACUCCAGCAUCGAGGGCAUCAUCUCUCUGUCAGACAUCCUGCAGGCGCUGGUUCUCACCCCCGCAGGUAUAGAUGCACAGAAUUCCUAAUCCAACCCUCCAUUUCACUUUCCUUCUCUCCUCUCCAUUCUUCCCCGGACCCAAUCUCCUCUCCCUGGACAUCUACCGCUCGAGUGUCCCUCUCUGACCCCCUGAGCACAGGAGGACGCAGAAGGGACAGUGUGACUGAAUGACAAGACAGCAUUUUGGAGGUGAAAGAGAAAUACAAGAAAUUCAAAGAACCAAAGAAGGUCCAGCCGGCAUUCCUGAUGGGAUACAAAGAAGAGGACAGCUGGAAGCUUUUUAGAUCCUCAUUUAAGGGCUGGAAAAUGUGCCGGGCUGAAAGAAAAUGUUUGAAUCUGGCGCCGAAGGAACGGACAUGCGAUCGUAAAGCACACAUUGAUGGACAUGUUUAUGGUGGGCCAGUCGUGAGAAUCAGCCGCUAUACUGUACACUGCUUUAAAUGCUGGGCACGUUUGCCUGGUGGUGCUGCUGGUUUUAGAGGUGCUUACUGACAGCGUUAAAAAUCAGGCACGGGGAGGAAGUCUCCUUUUGGUUUCUAGCUGGGUCUGCGUUAUAUCAUCAGGCACUGUAAUCCACUCUUGGCUGAGUGUCUGAAGUGGAAAUUUGCCUUAAAUGAAGACCUCGGUGAGAGCUGAUUAUAAAGGUUAGCAGAGACCCAUGCAUGUAGUGCAAAUUGCUGUUGGUUCAAAGAACAUGGUAGACUCUGUAGACAUCUGGCUAUUCUUUUUUCUCUCCCACUGUCUUGAAAACACUUUCAGGUUGCAUUUCAUCCCAAAAUUUAGAUAAAAUAUAUACAAAAAAUUAAGCAUAAAGCAAAAUAAUGUGAGAUUAUUUUCAUGACAGUUAAGCAUACUUACCUGCAGGUUUUAUUAUUGUAGUAGUAAAAUUAUUAUUAUUUUAAAAUUAUAUAAAUAAUAAUGUGUAUAUACUAUAGUAAUUAUUUUAUCACCUGUAAUUUAUGAAGCAUUAAAGAAAAAGAAUGAUUACUUUUUUUAAAUAAUGACUAACAAAUGAAGAUCACCUCUGAAAAUAAUUACUACAAUAGUAAUUUAGUAUUAUAUAACGGUCAUGAAAAUAACGUAGCAUUUUUUCUAGAUUUAUAACUCUGCAUACAUUACAGGUAAUAGAACAAAUACUAUAAUAUAUACGUUUUAUUAUUUAUUAUUGAUUAUAUAAUGUAUGAAUAAUAAUAAUAAAAUGAAUGAAAAUGAAAAUAGUGUUACCUGCAAAAAAAAACAAAACAAAAAAAAACUAUGGCUUUUUUGUUUCUUUUAAUUUUCAGGUGUUUUAUGUGAUGUGACCCAGACACAUUUAUUAUAAGUUUAAUGAGUUAUAUUCAAUCAAUUAUUGAUUUUUGCCUGUCAACGCUGGCGUAUUAGUCCAAAUGUCUACUGAAUAUGAAUUGUUUUCAUCCUAUUAGUUGUCAGUGGAAAAUGAAUGUACUACCACACUGCGUACGCACUGACCUGGACUGUAUUUUUACUGGAACAAAGAAUGUUAUGAAAAGUGACUAUAUAUACAGAGCCUUAUUUUUCUAUCAUGACUGUCUGUAGUGUUUGGCUGGUGUGGAAAAACGUGUGCACUACCUGUCUUAUGCACUAAAAGAGCAUGAAUGUCAAAAGCUUGCAGUUGCAAAAAAAGCCACGCACCUUUGCACCCCAGUGAUAUGCUGAGCUACUGUAAAUACAGCAUGCCAUGAAAUGGGUUCAAAACUGUUAAAUCAUGUAUUGUUUGAUUGCAUUUUUUCAUUAUUGUAACUGCUGUCAAUGAAAGUUAAGACCGUUAGGUCCAGAGAGAAAGAAAUGUACAUUUUUGUACACAGAAAUGACACUAUUUUUUUUUUUUAUGUGAUUGAGCUAAAAUAUAAUAAUGCAUUAAUAUUGUCUGAGAAUUGUUUUGUUGUGUACGCCUUCCUGUUUGAAGCUACCACAUGGUUUAAUUUGGAGAGCAUCACUUUAAAUUAGGUUGCAUAAAAUGAACUAGAAUAUGAAAUAUAUAUAUACACACAUAUAUUAUAUACAACCAAUUCACUCAAAACAGUGACUCAUUCAAAAACAAAACAGCCCUACUGAUUCGGAUUGAUUGUGCUUUGACAUCGAUGGCCUGGUAACUAUAAAAUGUAAGUUUUCAUUGAAAAUUAAGGUAAGUUUUCCAAACACUGCUUCAAGAAGCUUCAAAACAUUUGCUAAUCUUGAGUUUCGAAUCAGUGGUUUGUAUCAAAGUUAUGUGAAUAGGGGUUAUCAGAGAUGGUGUUAGAUGCCCAAUAAUAAUUACCUUCAUAUUUAAUGGCAUGUCAUUACUCGUAGAUUGCAUUUAAUAGACUGCACUUUCAUGAAAACAU
RNA transcript from Labeo rohita (rohu), 4163 nucleotides. It is a transcript of the gene named protein kinase, AMP-activated, gamma 2 non-catalytic subunit b, with no coding region annotated. The transcript is spliced from 16 exons. Lineage: Eukaryota; Metazoa; Chordata; Actinopteri; Cypriniformes; Cyprinidae. The record is from RefSeq and is a predicted model, not a curated record.